GACGAACGCUGGCGGCGUGCCUAAUACAUGCAAGUCGAGCGCAGGAAACUGACGGAACUCUUCGGAGGGAAGGCAGUGGAAUGAGCGGCGGACGGGUGAGUAACACGUAAGGAACCUGCCUCAAGGAUUGGGAUAACUCCGAGAAAUCGGAGCUAAUACCGGAUAGUUCAACGGACCGCAUGGUCCGCUGAUGAAAGGCGCUUCGGCGUCACCUUGAGCUGGCCUUGCGGUGCAUUAGCUAGUUGGUGGGGUAACGGCCCACCAAGGCGACGAUGCAUAGCCGACCUGAGAGGGUGAUCGGCCACACUGGGACUGAGACACGGCCCAGACUCCUACGGGAGGCAGCAGUAGGGAAUCUUCCACAAUGGACGAAAGUCUGAUGGAGCAACGCCGCGUGAGUGAUGAAAGUUUUCGGAUCGCAAAACUCUGUUGUAAGGGAAGAACACGUACGAGAGGAAAUGCUCGUACCUUGACGGUACCUUACGAGAAAGCCACGGCUAACUACGUGCCAGCAGCCGCUGUAA
This 524-nucleotide ribosomal RNA is filed under the name uncultured bacterium. Its description in RNAcentral is "partial 16S ribosomal RNA". It matches the Rfam family "Bacterial small subunit ribosomal RNA", at positions 28 to 523 of the family's 1533-position model. The record is from RNAcentral.